GUCCGAGAGCGGUGGUAGCUCAGUCAGGUAAGCGCCCGCUUCUCACGCAAGAGAUGCGGGUUCAAAUCCCGGCGCUGACA
RNAcentral lists this transfer RNA (80 nucleotides) under Plutella xylostella (diamondback moth). Its description in RNAcentral is "tRNA-Glu". The record is from RNAcentral. Lineage: Eukaryota; Metazoa; Arthropoda; Insecta; Lepidoptera; Plutellidae.